Molecule: ribosomal RNA, 420 nt
Filed under: Triticum aestivum (bread wheat)
Lineage: Eukaryota; Viridiplantae; Streptophyta; Magnoliopsida; Poales; Poaceae
Description: partial small subunit ribosomal RNA
Source: RNAcentral
AUGGCUCGGUCAAGAUGGAGUCUUGCGAGCAGCGAGCUUUCGGUCAUCCCUGUGCGGCGUGGAGAGCGGCGGUGCUUUCCUGGUGAUGCCGGCCUGGGAUUUCUCCGUGGAGAGGCGGGUCUGAUUGUCGCAAGGUCGUUCCUUGGAGUGGGCGACGGCCGUUGCGGGCAGUCCUGGACCUGGCAAGUGCUGCGGUGGCGGCAGUGUGAGGCUUCUUGGCAGUGGUACCAAUCCCAUGGAGGCGUGGCGAUGGGCGAAGCGCGGAUGAAAAUUUUGCACGGCUUCUGCCGGGCCGGCGGUGAUGGCAUCUGUGGAUGUCAUUCCCCUCCUUGGAGGCAUCGUCGAGCGUGUUCGCCUCAUCCCUCGCGCUCUCGGUGUUGGUGGAUGUCUCCGGGUGAAAGCCUAGAUUCGAUGUUCUGA